Molecule: ribosomal RNA, 64 nt
Filed under: uncultured organism
Description: partial 16S ribosomal RNA
Source: RNAcentral
AACCCUUGACAUGGUGGUCGCGGGAAGCAGAGAAGCAUCCCUUCAGUUCGGCUGGACCACACAC